This 2990-nucleotide ribosomal RNA is filed under the name Salmonella enterica. Its description in RNAcentral is "bacterial LSU rRNA". It matches the Rfam family "Bacterial large subunit ribosomal RNA". Lineage: Bacteria; Pseudomonadati; Pseudomonadota; Gammaproteobacteria; Enterobacterales; Enterobacteriaceae. The record is from RNAcentral.
UUAAGCGACUAAGCGUACACGGUGGAUGCCCUGGCAGUCAGAGGCGAUGAAGGGCGUGCUAAUCUGCGAUAAGCGCCGGUAAGGUGAUAUGAACCGUUAUAACCGGCGAUACCCGAAUGGGGAAACCCAGUGUGAUUCGUCACACUAUCAUUAACUGAAUCCAUAGGUUAAUGAGGCGAACCGGGGGAACUGAAACAUCUAAGUACCCCGAGGAAAAGAAAUCAACCGAGAUUCCCCCAGUAGCGGCGAGCGAACGGGGAGGAGCCCAGAGCCUGAAUCAGCAUGUGUGUUAGUGGAAGCGUCUGGAAAGGUGCGCGAUACAGGGUGACAGCCCCGUACACAAAAGCGCAUGUGCUGUGAGCUCGAUGAGUAGGGCGGGACACGUGGUAUCCUGUCUGAAUAUGGGGGGACCAUCCUCCAAGGCUAAAUACUCCUGACUGACCGAUAGUGAACCAGUACCGUGAGGGAAAGGCGAAAAGAACCCCGGCGAGGGGAGUGAAAAAGAACCUGAAACCGUGUACGUACAAGCAGUGGGAGCACAGGUUUACCUGUGUGACUGCGUACCUUUUGUAUAAUGGGUCAGCGACUUAUAUUCUGUAGCAAGGUUAACCGUAUAGGGGAGCCGGAGGGAAACCGAGUCUUAAUUGGGCGUUAAGUUGCAGGGUAUAGACCCGAAACCCGGUGAUCUAGCCAUGGGCAGGUUGAAGGUUGGGUAACACUAACUGGAGGACCGAACCGACUAAUGUUGAAAAAUUAGCGGAUGACCUGUGGCUGGGGGUGAAAGGCCAAUCAAACCGGGAGAUAGCUGGUUCUCCCCGAAAGCUAUUUAGGUAGCGCCUCGUGAAUUCAUCUCCGGGGGUAGAGCACUGUUUCGGCUAGGGGGCCAUCCCGGCUUACCAACCCGAUGCAAACUGCGAAUACCGGAGAAUGUUAUCACGGGAGACACACGGCGGGUGCUAACGUCCGUCGUGAAGAGGGAAACAACCCAGACCGCCAGCUAAGGUCCCAAAGUCAUGGUUAAGUGGGAAACGAUGUGGGAAGGCCCAGACAGCCAGGAUGUUGGCUUAGAAGCAGCCAUCAUUUAAAGAAAGCGUAAUAGCUCACUGGUCGAGUCGGCCUGCGCGGAAGAUGUAACGGGGCUAAACCAUGCACCGAAGCUGCGGCAGCGAACGUAUCACCCAAGACAACUUUACGGAGUUGACGAUUGACGGAGCGAAGCGACGUCAAAGCGUUCAUUAAAGUCGAGUUGGCUUAGGGAUACGUUCGUUGGGUAGGGGAGCGUUCUGUAAGCCUGUGAAGGUGUGUCGUGAGGCAUGCUGGAGGUAUCAGAAGUGCGAAUGCUGACAUAAGUAACGAUAAAGCGGGUGAAAAGCCCGCUCGCCGGAAGACCAAGGGUUCCUGUCCAACGUUAAUCGGGGCAGGGUGAGUCGACCCCUAAGGCGAGGCCGAAAGGCGUAGUCGAUGGGAAACGGGUUAAUAUUCCCGUACUUGGUGUUACUGCGAAGGGGGGACGGAGAAGGCUAUGUUGGCCGGGCGACGGUUGUCCCGGUUUAAGCGUGUAGGUGUGUGUUCCAGGUAAAUCCGGUUCACUUUAACACUGAGGCGUGACGACGAGGCACUACGGUGCUGAAGCAACAAAUGCCCUGCUUCCAGGAAAAGCCUCUAAGCAUCAGGUAACACGAAAUCGUACCCCAAACCGACACAGGUGGUCAGGUAGAGAAUACCAAGGCGCUUGAGAGAACUCGGGUGAAGGAACUAGGCAAAAUGGUGCCGUAACUUCGGGAGAAGGCACGCUGACACGUAGGUGAAGUGAUUUACUCAUGGAGCUGAAGUCAGUCGAAGAUACCAGCUGGCUGCAACUGUUUAUUAAAAACACAGCACUGUGCAAACACGAAAGUGGACGUAUACGGUGUGACGCCUGCCCGGUGCCGGAAGGUUAAUUGAUGGGGUCAGCGCAAGCGAAGCUCCUGAUCGAAGCCCCGGUAAACGGCGGCCGUAACUAUAACGGUCCUAAGGUAGCGAAAUUCCUUGUCGGGUAAGUUCCGACCUGCACGAAUGGCGUAAUGAUGGCCAGGCUGUCUCCACCCGAGACUCAGUGAAAUUGAACUCGCUGUGAAGAUGCAGUGUACCCGCGGCAAGACGGAAAGACCCCGUGAACCUUUACUAUAGCUUGACACUGAACAUUGAGCCUUGAUGUGUAGGAUAGGUGGGAGGCUUUGAAGUGUGGACGCCAGUCUGCAUGGAGCCGACCUUGAAAUACCACCCUUUAAUGUUUGAUGUUCUAACGUGGACCCGUAAUCCGGGUUGCGGACAGUGUCUGGUGGGUAGUUUGACUGGGGCGGUCUCCUCCUAAAGAGUAACGGAGGAGCACGAAGGUUGGCUAAUCCUGGUCGGACAUCAGGAGGUUAGUGCAAUGGCAUAAGCCAGCUUGACUGCGAGCGUGACGGCGCGAGCAGGUGCGAAAGCAGGUCAUAGUGAUCCGGUGGUUCUGAAUGGAAGGGCCAUCGCUCAACGGAUAAAAGGUACUCCGGGGAUAACAGGCUGAUACCGCCCAAGAGUUCAUAUCGACGGCGGUGUUUGGCACCUCGAUGUCGGCUCAUCACAUCCUGGGGCUGAAGUAGGUCCCAAGGGUAUGGCUGUUCGCCAUUUAAAGUGGUACGCGAGCUGGGUUUAGAACGUCGUGAGACAGUUCGGUCCCUAUCUGCCGUGGGCGCUGGAGAACUGAGGGGGGCUGCUCCUAGUACGAGAGGACCGGAGUGGACGCAUCACUGGUGUUCGGGUUGUCAUGCCAAUGGCACUGCCCGGUAGCUAAAUGCGGAAGAGAUAAGUGCUGAAAGCAUCUAAGCACGAAACUUGCCCCGAGAUGAGUUCUCCCUGAGACUUAGAGUCUCCUGAAGGAACGUUGAAGACGACGACGUUGAUAGGCCGGGUGUGUAAGCGCAGCGAUGCGUUGAGCUAACCGGUACUAAUGAACCGUGAGGCUUAACCUU